CAGAAUUGUAGACCCUGUUUACUUUGUUUGGAGGCUUACCUGCUGCAGUAAAUCCCAGUCUGUUAACCACCCACUGGAAAUAUGCAUGCUAACGAUCCCACUCAGCCUGAUUUAUUCUUAGUGAGACACCAAGGUGGGCAAACUGGGCUGGAGUCAGCUCACCAGCCCAAUUUCUGCAGAUUGGGUGUAGCCAAGGAGUCCUAGAAGGAAGAGGAGUAGCUUAUACUCAGUCCUGCAACAGAAGUGCAGGUACAAGAAAGGCACGCAUAUAGUUCCAGACAAAUUUUAACUUAUCCAGUUUAAUGUUGCUGAUGAUCUCUUCAGCAGUUCUCUCCCCAGUUAUUCUUUAGUCUGACUGAAUGGGCCUGUAAACAGCAAAUAACAACUCGUGAAACUAACGUGCGUUUGUCUGCUAGUCACCAGCUCUGCUCAUACUCUUUCUUGUUGAUUUCAGUUGCGUUUCUUCUAACAAAAAAAAUUCUCUGAAAAUUUUAGGAAUCAUAAAUCUCUUCAAACUCUCCAAGCAGAGCCUGCCAGAAAGUUGCUAUAACAGUUCAUGAUCAAAUACAUCCAUCAAAGAGAAGCAGCCCAGGAUGUAAUUUAUAUAUGUUUGCCUUCAGCCCAGACCUAUGCAUACUAAAUAGCCUA
Chiroxiphia lanceolata (lance-tailed manakin) is the source of this 648-nucleotide long non-coding RNA. RefSeq lists it as uncharacterized. Lineage: Eukaryota; Metazoa; Chordata; Aves; Passeriformes; Pipridae. The record is from RefSeq and is a predicted model, not a curated record. The transcript is spliced from 3 exons.